This 1191-nucleotide long non-coding RNA is filed under the name Hordeum vulgare. RNAcentral's name for it is "long non-coding RNA (HVUL_LNC008604)". The record is from RNAcentral. Lineage: Eukaryota; Viridiplantae; Streptophyta; Magnoliopsida; Poales; Poaceae.
CCUCUUCCUCUUCAUCUUCUUGAGGCAUCCAAUUCAUAGCUUCUUCAUCUUCCUCUUGAGGCAUCAUGUUCAAAUCUAUACCUCCAUCCUCUCCAUGUUGAGCUUCUUCCUCUUCCUCUUGAGGCAUCAUGUUCAAAUCUAUACCUUCAUCCUCUUCCUCUUGAGGUACCAUGUUCAAAUCCAUACUCCUGCAAUCAAUUAAAAAAGAAGGAGAAGAAGAUUAGAAAGGGGGACACAAAGUGCAGCAGGUACAAGUUCUUAAUUACAGUUGAAUCCAAAAGUGAAUGAUGAACAAAAAGAACACGAGUUUUGCCUUUUUGACAGCAAAAGAACAUGAGUUUUUCUUUUCUUCUUUGACAGGAAAAGAACAUGGGUUUUUCUUUUCUUCUUUGACAGCAAAAGAAGAGGAGUUGAUUUGACAGCAAAAGAACAGGAGUAUAUAUAAUUUUUUCUUCAGAAAAGAAUAUUUGCGCCGUUCAAAGUAGAUAGCAAGAUAGCCGAAAAGAAUACAACUACCAAUGUACUGUACUAGAUAGAGAGAAAAUUCUGCCGUCAUUAUUUGAUUCCCAUUCCCGUGUCUCAUUUUGGUACAUUUGUGUGGCCUUUUAGCAUCUCGAUCAAACAUCGGAUUGUCCCUGCGAUUUUCUUAUAUGCAGGCGCGCGUUCUUGUGACUAAAUGCAUUGUCCCAGCUUUCGGCGUCGCAGGAGGUAAAAAAUAUUCAGACAAAGUGCAGUUGGAGUACUGCCUUCUGAAAUGCAUUUCAUGUGCAAAAGAUAGUAUAUGGACGCACAAUUUCUUGUUUCCUAAUAAUCUGACAAUAUUGCAAAAUGCAGAUUGUUGAACUGGUAGAUCGAUAUGACGAAGAGUGUGUUACCACCAGCGACAAGAUAGGUUUCAUCCAGGACUCCAAGGUCGACAAGGCGUGCACCAGAAAGAUCACGGUGAGAUUCAGAGACACAUAUUCCCAUUCAGAAAUGUGUCUGUACUCUGUAGUACAUUGCUGGUUACACUACACAAAAACUUCAGAACAGAGAUGACAACAUGGCAUCUUUGUUUUCAUUAGCAAUACAUUUUCAAACAGCAGCAGUUUCAGGUACCAGUUCCAGGUGAGCAUUUUCAUUUGCAAUAGUUCUAGGUAAACAACAACAACAGUUUCACGUACCUUCUUCAGGUGCAGAGCGGCACUAGCU